AGAGUUUGAUCCUGGCUCAGGAUGAACGCUAGCUACAGGCUUAACACAUGCAAGUCGAGGGGCAGCAUGGUCUUAGCUUGCUAAGGCCGAUGGCGACCGGCGCACGGGUGAGUAACACGUAUCCAACCUGCCGUCUACUCUUGGACAGCCUUCUGAAAGGAAGAUUAAUACAAGAUGGCAUCAUGAGUCCGCAUGUUCACAUGAUUAAAGGUAUUCCGGUAGACGAUGGGGAUGCGUUCCAUUAGAUAGUAGGCGGGGUAACGGCCCACCUAGUCUUCGAUGGAUAGGGGUUCUGAGAGGAAGGUCCCCCACAUUGGAACUGAGACACGGUCCAAACUCCUACGGGAGGCAGCAGUGAGGAAUAUUGGUCAAUGGGCGAGAGCCUGAACCAGCCAAGUAGCGUGAAGGAUGACUGCCCUAUGGGUUGUAAACUUCUUUUAUAAAGGAAUAAAGUCGGGUAUGCAUACCCGUUUGCAUGUACUUUAUGAAUAAGGAUCGGCUAACUCCGUGCCAGCAGCCGCGGUAAUACGGAGGAUCCGAGCGUUAUCCGGAUUUAUUGGGUUUAAAGGGAGCGUAGAUGGAUGUUUAAGUCAGUUGUGAAAGUUUGCGGCUCAACCGUAAAAUUGCAGUUGAUACUGGAUAUCUUGAGUGCAGUUGAGGCAGGCGGAAUUCGUGGUGUAGCGGUGAAAUGCUUAGAUAUCACGAAGAACUCCGAUUGCGAAGGCAGCCUGCUAAGCUGCAACUAACAUUGAGGCUCGAAAGUGUGGGUAUCAAACAGGAUUAGAUACCCUGGUAGUCCACACGGUAAACGAUGAAUACUCGCUGUUUGCGAUAUACAGCAAGCGGCCAAGCGAAAGCGUUAAGUAUUCCACCUGGGGAGUACGCCGGCAACGGUGAAACUCAAAGGAAUUGACGGGGGCCCGCACAAGCGGAGGAACAUGUGGUUUAAUUCGAUGAUACGCGAGGAACCUUACCCGGGCUUAAAUUGCAGAUGAAUUACGGUGAAAGCCGUAAGCCGCAAGGCAUCUGUGAAGGUGCUGCAUGGUUGUCGUCAGCUCGUGCCGUGAGGUGUCGGCUUAAGUGCCAUAACGAGCGCAACCCUUGUUGUCAGUUGCUAACAGGUUCCGCUGAGGACUCUGACAAGACUGCCAUCGUAAGAUGUGAGGAAGGUGGGGAUGACGUCAAAUCAGCACGGCCCUUACGUCCGGGGCUACACACGUGUUACAAUGGGGGGUACAGAGGGCCGCUACCACGCGAGUGGAUGCCAAUCCCAAAAACCUCUCAGUUCGGACUGGAGUCUGCAACCCGACUCCACGAAGCUGGAUUCGCUAGUAAUCGCGCAUCAGCCACGGCGCGGUGAAUACGUUCCCGGGCCUUGUACACACCGCCCGUCAAGCCAUGGGAGCCGGGGGUACCUGAAGUGCGUAACCGCGAGGAGCGCCCUAGGGUAAAACUGGUGACUGGGGCUAAGUCGUAACAAGGUA
Molecule: ribosomal RNA, 1484 nt
Filed under: metagenome
Description: bacterial SSU rRNA
Rfam family: Bacterial small subunit ribosomal RNA
Source: RNAcentral